UGGGGAAUAUUGGGCAAUGGAGGAAACUCUGACCCAGCAACGCCGCGUGAAUGAUGAAGGUCUUCGGAUUGUAAAGUUCUUUUCUAAGGGACGAAGAAAGUGACGGUACCUUAGGAAUAAGCCCCGGCUAACUACGUGCCAGCAGCCGCGGUAAUACGUAGGAGGCAAGCGUUAUCCGGAAUGACUGGGCGUAAAGGGUGCGUAGGUGGUUUGGCAAGUUGGCGGCGUAACUCCGAGGCUCAACCUCGGAACUACCGCCAAAACUGUUGAACUUGAGUGCAGGAGGGGCAAUCGGAAUUCCUAGUGUAGCGGUGGAAUGCGUAGAUAUUAGGAGGAACACCAGUGGCGAAGGCGGAUUGCUGGACUGUAACUGACACUGAGGCACGAAAGCGUGGGGAGCAAACA
Molecule: ribosomal RNA, 405 nt
Filed under: uncultured bacterium
Lineage: Bacteria
Description: bacterial SSU rRNA
Rfam family: Bacterial small subunit ribosomal RNA
Source: RNAcentral